RNAcentral lists this ribosomal RNA (484 nucleotides) under uncultured bacterium. Its description in RNAcentral is "partial 16S ribosomal RNA". It matches the Rfam family "Bacterial small subunit ribosomal RNA", at positions 30 to 507 of the family's 1533-position model. The record is from RNAcentral.
AUUGAACGCUAGCGGGAUGCUUUACACAUGCAAGUCGAACGGCAGCGCGGACUUCGGUCUGGCGGCGCGUGGCGCACGGGUGAGUAAUGUAUCGGAACGUGCCCAGUAGCGGGGGAUAACUCCGCGAAAGCGUAGCUAAUACCGCAUACGCCCUACGCGGGAAAGCAGGGGAUCGUAAGACCUUGCACUAUUUGAGCGGCCGAUAUCGGAUUAGCUAGUUGGUGAGGUAACGGCUCACCAAGGCGACGAUCCGUAGCUGGUUUGAGAGGACGACCAGCCACACUGGGACUGAGACACGGCCCAGACUCCUACGGGAGGCAGCAGUGGGGAAUUUUGGACAAUGGGGGCAAGCUUGAUCCAGCCAUCCCGCGUGUGCGAUGAAGGCCUUCGGGUUGUAAAGCACUUUUGGCAGGAAAGAAACCCCGCGGCCUAAUACGCUGUGGAAAUGACGGUACCGGCAGAAUAAGCACCGGCUAACUACGUG